GAUGAACGCUGGCGGUAUGCCUUACACAUGCAAGUCGUACGAGAGUUUUUAACUCUAGUGGCGGACGGGUGAGUAACACGUAAGAAUUUGCCUUUAGGAGGGGGACAACAACUGGAAACGGUUGCUAAUACCCCAUAUGCUUUCGAGUGAAAUGGAUUUCCGCCUAAAGAGAAGCUUGCGGCUGAUUAGCUUGUUGGUGAGGUAAUGGCUCACCAAGGCGACGAUCAGUAUCUGGUUUGAGAGGACGAUCAGACACACUGGAACUGAGACACGGUCCAGACUCCUACGGGAGGCAGCAGUGGGGAAUUUUCCGCAAUGGGCGAAAGCCUGACGGAGCAAUACCGCGUGAGGGAUGACGGCCUAUGGGUUGUAAACCUCUUUUUUCAGGGAGGAAUAAAUGACGUGUACCUGAAGAAUAAGC
RNAcentral lists this ribosomal RNA (421 nucleotides) under uncultured bacterium. RNAcentral's name for it is "bacterial SSU rRNA". It matches the Rfam family "Bacterial small subunit ribosomal RNA", at positions 28 to 491 of the family's 1533-position model. The record is from RNAcentral.